RNAcentral lists this ribosomal RNA (254 nucleotides) under uncultured bacterium. Its description in RNAcentral is "partial 16S ribosomal RNA". It matches the Rfam family "Bacterial small subunit ribosomal RNA", at positions 524 to 776 of the family's 1533-position model. The record is from RNAcentral.
UACGGAGGGUGCAAGCGUUAUCCGGAUUCACUGGGUUUAAAGGGUGCGUAGGUGGGUUGGUAAGUCAGUGGUGAAAUCUCCGUGCUUAACAUGGAAACUGCCAUUGAUACUACUGAUCUUGAAUUUUCUGGAGGUAAGCGGAAUAUGUCAUGUAGCGGUGAAAUGCUUAGAUAUGACAUAGAACACCAAUUGCGAAGGCAGCUUGCUACAGGGAUAUUGACACUGAGGCACGAAAAGCGUGGGGAUCAAACAGG